This 408-nucleotide ribosomal RNA is filed under the name Fusobacteriota bacterium. Its description in RNAcentral is "Fusobacteria bacterium partial 16S ribosomal RNA". It matches the Rfam family "Bacterial small subunit ribosomal RNA", at positions 355 to 776 of the family's 1533-position model. The record is from RNAcentral. Lineage: Bacteria; Fusobacteriati; Fusobacteriota.
UGGGGAAUAUUGCACAAUGGACGGAAGUCUGAUGCAGCAACGCCGCGUGCGGGAUGACGGCCUUCGGGUUGUAAACCGCUUUUUCUCAUGACGAAGUUUUUUGACGGUAGUGGGGGAAGAAGCACCGGCUAACUACGUGCCAGCAGCCGCGGUGAUACGUAGGGUGCGAGCGUUGUCCGGAAUUAUUGGGCGUAAAGAGCUUGUAGGCGGUUUGUCGCGUCGAUAGUGCAAACUCAGUGCUUAACGCUGAGCCUGCUGUUGAUACGGGCAGACUAGGGGAAGGUAGGGGAGAAUGGAAUUCCCGGUGGAGCGGUGGAAUGCGCAGAUAUCGGGAGGAACACCGGUGGCGAAGGCGGUUCUCUGGGCCUUUCCUGACGCUGGGAAGCGAAAGCGUGGGGAGCGAACAGG